GACGAACGCUGGCGGCGUGCUUAACACAUGCAAGUCGAACGGUAAGGCCCCUUCGGGGGUACACGAGUGGCGAACGGGUGAGUAACACGUGAGCAACCUGCCCUUGACUCUGGAAUAACAGUUGGAAACAGCUGCUAAUACUGGAUAUUCAUCGUCUCCUUCCUGGGGGGUGGUGGAAAGCUCCGGCGGCCAGGGAUGGGCUCGCGGCCUAUCAGCUUGUUGGUGAGGUAAUGGCUCACCAAGGCUUCGACGGGUAGCCGGCCUGAGAGGGCGACCGGCCACACUGGGACUGAGAUACGGCCCAGACUCCUACGGGAGGCAGCAGUGGGGAAUAUUGCACAGUGGGCGCAAGCCUGAUGCAGCAACGCCGCGUGCGGGAUGACGGCCUUCGGGUUGUAAACCGCUUUCAGUAGGGACGAAGGGUGACUGACGGUACCUACAGAAGAAGGACCGGCUAACUACGUG
Molecule: ribosomal RNA, 465 nt
Filed under: uncultured bacterium
Lineage: Bacteria
Description: partial 16S ribosomal RNA
Rfam family: Bacterial small subunit ribosomal RNA
Source: RNAcentral